Molecule: ribosomal RNA, 253 nt
Filed under: uncultured bacterium
Lineage: Bacteria
Description: partial 16S ribosomal RNA
Rfam family: Bacterial small subunit ribosomal RNA
Source: RNAcentral
UACGAAGGGUGCAAGCGUUGUUCGGAAUCAUUGGGCGUAAAGCGCGCGCAGGCGGAUUCGUAAGUCAGAUGUGAAAUCUCGGGGCUCAACCUCGAAACUGCGUCUGAAACUACAAGUCUAGAAUGUUGUUGAGGUUUGCGGAAUGGGUCAUGUAGCGGUGAAAUGCAUAGAUAUGACCCGGAACACCUAUUGCGAAGGCAGCAGGCUAAACAAAUAUUGACGCUGAGGCUCGAAAGCGUGGGGAUCAAACAGG